RNAcentral lists this long non-coding RNA (473 nucleotides) under Hordeum vulgare. RNAcentral describes it as "long non-coding RNA (HVUL_LNC016853)". The record is from RNAcentral. Lineage: Eukaryota; Viridiplantae; Streptophyta; Magnoliopsida; Poales; Poaceae.
GAAACGUCGUCCAUCACUAUUGCCCCUUUUCAGGCAGCCCCACACCGGCGGAAAUUGAAACUAACGGUCCUGGGUGCUGCCAGCUGAGACAAGACCACCAUUUCUCCAGUCUAUUGGAUCAAGAAAUACAUUCCGACGUGGCAGAGAGUCAGACUCUAUACUAGCUAGUUCUGGUUGCUCAGCAAGAUUGCGGCAGGUUGAUGAACUUUUGCCCUAAUAUAAACAACACUCUGAAGAAAGGGCACUCUUCUCUCUUUCAUGUGUAGAGCACCGAACAGUGGAUAUGGUACCUUAUGAUAUUGGGUGCACGAAUCCUUCUUGACAUGUGCCGACCAGCCAGCAUACCCUGGUCCCUGCCAUGGUAGAGAGAAAGGGAGAACCGAAGCCGCGAGAUGCAUGCUAUGGUGGUGGAGAGGCCACAAUCUCCACGUACUGUACACCUUCGUGUCAAACCAAACACACGUCUAUCCCUU